Molecule: ribosomal RNA, 468 nt
Filed under: uncultured bacterium
Lineage: Bacteria
Description: bacterial SSU rRNA
Rfam family: Bacterial small subunit ribosomal RNA
Source: RNAcentral
CAGGACGAACGCUGGCGGCGUGCCUAACACAUGCAAGUCGAACGGGGUGAUUUCUUUCGGGAGAUCACUUAGUGGCGAACGGGUGAGUAACGCGUGAGGAACCUGCCUUUCAGUGGGGGACAACAGUCGGAAACGACUGCUAAUACCGCAUAAUGUAGCGAGACCGCAUGAUCUUGCUACCAAAGCUUUAUGUGCUGAAAGAUGGCCUCGCGUCUGAUUAGCUAGUUGGUGGGGUAACGGCUCACCAAGGCGACGAUCAGUAGCCGGCCUGAGAGGGUGACCGGCCACAUUGGGACUGAGACACGGCCCAAACUCCUACGGGAGGCAGCAGUCGGGAAUAUUGCACAAUGGGCGCAAGCCUGAUGCAGCAACGCCGCGUGAGGGAAGACGGUUUUCGGAUUGUAAACCUCUGUCUUUGGUGACGAAGAAGUGACGGUAGCCAAGGAGGAAGCCACGGCUAACUACGUG